GACGAACGCUGGCGGCGUGCCUAAUACAUGCAAGUUGAGCGCUGAAGGUUGGUACUUGUACCAACUGGAUGAGCAGCGCACGGGUGAGUAACGCGUGGGGAAUCUGCCUUUGAGCGGGGGACAACAUUUGGAAACGAAUGCUAAUACCGCAUAAAAACUUUAAACACAAGUUUUAAGUUUGAAAGAUGCAAUUGCAUCACUCAAAGAUGAUCCCGCGUUGUAUUAGCUAGUUGGUGAGGUAAAGGCUCACCAAGGCGAUGAUACAUAGCCGACCUGAGAGGGUGAUCGGCCGCAUUGGGACUGAGACACGGCACACACUCCUACGGGAGGCAGCAGUAGGGAAUCGUGGGCAAUGGGCGAAAGACUGAGCGAGCAACGCCGAGUGAGUGAAGAAGGUUGUCGGAUCGUAAAACUCUGUUGGUAGAGAAGAACGUUGGUGAGAGUGGAAAGCUCAUCAAGUGACGGUAACUACCCAGAAAGGAACGGCUAACUACGUG
This 497-nucleotide ribosomal RNA is filed under the name uncultured bacterium. RNAcentral's name for it is "partial 16S ribosomal RNA". It matches the Rfam family "Bacterial small subunit ribosomal RNA", at positions 28 to 507 of the family's 1533-position model. The record is from RNAcentral.